UUACGGCCACAUCACAAUGGAACACUGGUUCCUGUAUGAUCACUAAAGUUAAGCAACAUUGAGCCUGGUCAGUACCUCAAUUGGUGACCACUUGGGAAUACCAGGUGCUAUA
Molecule: non-coding RNA, 112 nt
Organism: Acanthosepion pharaonis
Lineage: Eukaryota; Metazoa; Mollusca; Cephalopoda; Sepiida; Sepiidae
Source: the annotation of a GenBank genome assembly